RNAcentral lists this ribosomal RNA (249 nucleotides) under Klebsiella pneumoniae. Its description in RNAcentral is "partial 23S ribosomal RNA". It matches the Rfam family "Bacterial large subunit ribosomal RNA", at positions 234 to 521 of the family's 2925-position model. RNAcentral also lists the same sequence under 2 other names. Lineage: Bacteria; Pseudomonadati; Pseudomonadota; Gammaproteobacteria; Enterobacterales; Enterobacteriaceae. The record is from RNAcentral.
AUUCCCCCAGUAGCGGCGAGCGAACGGGGAGCAGCCCAGAGUCUGAAUCAGCUUGUGUGUUAGUGGAACGGUCUGGAAAGUCCGACGGUACAGGGUGAUAGUCCCGUACACCAAAAUGCACAGGUUGUGAACUCGAAGAGUAGGGCGGGACACGUGGUAUCCUGUCUGAAUAUGGGGGGACCAUCCUCCAAGGCUAAAUACUCCUGACUGACCGAUAGUGAACCAGUACCGUGAGGGAAAGGCGAAAAG